Molecule: unclassified non-coding RNA, 254 nt
Filed under: uncultured Planctomycetia bacterium
Lineage: Bacteria; Pseudomonadati; Planctomycetota; Planctomycetia
Description: contains 16S-23S intergenic spacer region
Rfam family: Bacterial small subunit ribosomal RNA
Source: RNAcentral
GACGAACCAAGCGAACGUUAUUCGGAAUUACUGGGCUUAAAGCGCGUGUAGGCGGAUGGCCACGUCGGUUGUUGAAAUCCCCCGGCUUAACCGGGGAACAGGCACCGAUACGAGUUAUCUGGAGGUGGGUAGGGGAGACUGGAACUUCCGGUGGAGCGGUGAAAUGUGUUGAGAUCGGAAGGAACGCCUGCGGCGAAAGCGAGUCUCUGGCCCCAUACUGACGCUGAGACGCGAAAGCCAGGGGAGCAAACGGG